Molecule: ribosomal RNA, 440 nt
Filed under: uncultured Rhodospirillaceae bacterium
Lineage: Bacteria; Pseudomonadati; Pseudomonadota; Alphaproteobacteria; Rhodospirillales; Rhodospirillaceae
Description: bacterial SSU rRNA
Rfam family: Bacterial small subunit ribosomal RNA
Source: RNAcentral
CCUACGGGGGGCUGCAGUGGGGAAUAUUGGACAAUGGGCGCAAGCCUGAUCCAGCCAUGCCGCGUGAGUGAAGAAGGCCUUCGGGUUGUAAAGCUCUUUCAGACGGGAAGAUGAUGACGGUACCGUCAGAAGAAGCCCCGGCUAACUUCGUGCCAGCAGCCGCGGUAAUACGAAGGGGGCUAGCGUUGUUCGGAAUUACUGGGCGUAAAGCGCGCGUAGGCGGCUUUGUCAGUCAGGGGUGAAAUCCCGGGGCUCAACCUCGGAAUUGCCUUUGAUACUGCAAGGCUUGAAUCCGUGAGAGGGUGGUGGAAUAUCCAGUGUAGAGGUGAAAUUCGUAGAUAUUGGAUGGAACACCAGUGGCGAAGGCGGCCACCUGGCACGGUAUUGACGCUGAGGUGCGAAAGCGUGGGGAGCAAACAGGAUUAGAUACCCCUGUAGUC